RNAcentral lists this ribosomal RNA (1451 nucleotides) under Salmonella enterica subsp. enterica serovar Newport. RNAcentral's name for it is "partial 23S ribosomal RNA". It matches the Rfam family "Bacterial large subunit ribosomal RNA", at positions 16 to 1512 of the family's 2925-position model. The record is from RNAcentral. Lineage: Bacteria; Pseudomonadati; Pseudomonadota; Gammaproteobacteria; Enterobacterales; Enterobacteriaceae.
CGUACACGGUGGAUGCCCUGGCAGUCAGAGGCGAUGAAGGACGUGCUAAUCUGCGAUAAGCGCCGGUAAGGUGAUAUGAACCGUUAUAACCGGCGAUUUCCGAAUGGGGAAACCCAGUGUGACUCGUCACACUAUCAUUAACUGAAUCCAUAGGUUAAUGAGGCGAACCGGGGGAACUGAAACAUCUAAGUACCCCGAGGAAAAGAAAUCAACCGAGAUUCCCCCAGUAGCGGCGAGCGAACGGGGAGGAGCCCAGAGCCUGAAUCAGCAUGUGUGUUAGUGGAAGCGUCUGGAAAGGCGCGCGAUACAGGGUGACAGCCCCGUACACAAAAGCGCAUGUGCUGUGAGCUCGAUGAGUAGGGCGGGACACGUGGUAUCCUGUCUGAAUAUGGGGGGACCAUCCUCCAAGGCUAAAUACUCCUGACUGACCGAUAGUGAACCAGUACCGUGAGGGAAAGGCGAAAAGAACCCCGGCGAGGGGAGUGAAAAAGAACCUGAAACCGUGUACGUACAAGCAGUGGGAGCACCCUUCGGGGUGUGACUGCGUACCUUUUGUAUAAUGGGUCAGCGACUUAUAUUCUGUAGCAAGGUUAACCGUAUAGGGGAGCCGUAGGGAAACCGAGUCUUAACCGGGCGUUAAGUUGCAGGGUAUAGACCCGAAACCCGGUGAUCUAGCCAUGGGCAGGUUGAAGGUUGGGUAACACUAACUGGAGGACCGAACCGACUAAUGUUGAAAAAUUAGCGGAUGACCUGUGGCUGGGGGUGAAAGGCCAAUCAAACCGGGAGAUAGCUGGUUCUCCCCGAAAGCUAUUUAGGUAGCGCCUCGUGAAUUCAUCUCCGGGGGUAGAGCACUGUUUCGGCUAGGGGGCCAUCCCGGCUUACCAACCCGAUGCAAACUGCGAAUACCGGAGAAUGUUAUCACGGGAGACACACGGCGGGUGCUAACGUCCGUCGUGAAGAGGGAAACAACCCAGACCGCCAGCUAAGGUCCCAAAGUCAUAGUUAAGUGGGAAACGAUGUGGGAAGGCCCAGACAGCCAGGAUGUUGGCUUAGAAGCAGCCAUCAUUUAAAGAAAGCGUAAUAGCUCACUGGUCGAGUCGGCCUGCGCGGAAGAUGUAACGGGGCUAAACUAUGCACCGAAGCUGCGGCAGCGACACUAUGUGUUGUUGGGUAGGGGAGCGUUCUGUAAGCCUGUGAAGGUGUGUCGUGAGGCAUGCUGGAGGUAUCAGAAGUGCGAAUGCUGACAUAAGUAACGAUAAAGCGGGUGAAAAGCCCGCUCGCCGGAAGACCAAGGGUUCCUGUCCAACGUUAAUCGGGGCAGGGUGAGUCGACCCCUAAGGCGAGGCCGAAAGGCGUAGUCGAUGGGAAACGGGUUAAUAUUCCCGUACUUGGUGUUACUGCGAAGGGGGGACGGAGAAGGCUAUGUUGGCCGGGCGACGGUUGUCCCGGUU